CAAGUGGCUCUCAUCAGAAAGUCUAUCAGACACCCGAAUAAGUACAAUCUGUCAUACAAUUCUUUUUCUUCUUUUCGAAAAGAAUUUGCUUGAGUCACUUCUUUACGUAAACAUUUUUAUAACAUUUAACAAGAACAAACGAAAGGUAUGAAUUGGCUAAAAGUUUAUCGCUUCGUUAUAAUCACAGAUUCGGUCGUUUCGGUAUUGAAAUUAGCGCUUUUCGUCUAUUUAAUCAUUAUUGGAAUACAAUGGAAACAGGCAUUCGAUAAAACCGAAAAAUACGACUCAUCAUAUGUGACGGAAUUACUUAUAGUGUCGCAUUUCAUGGCAACAACGCUUCUGCUGAUCUUAAUUUUGCUCAGAUUGAUGACAAAUUAUAACCAAUAUCGAUAUGACCACCAAGGAAGCCAUAAAACGGAUGCAAGAAGGUGUUUUAAAGUUUGCUGUUAUGGUUUCGGUUGGUUCAUUUUGAACAUUUUAAGUAUCGCAUUCUUCAUUAUAUCGAUUCGGAUACGAAGGUCGACUUCGAAGUGGAUAAACGAAGGAGUUUCAAUGAGCUUUCUAUGCUGGGAUGUCAUCAUCCUUUGCAUUAUGGUCAUAUUUAAGUCCUUGAUGAGUAAAAUAACCUACCCACAUGUCGUACAGUAUGAGAAGCAACAUUCACCAACGGAAGAAAUUAGUGCGUGCGAGAACACAAAAUUCAAUUCAGAUUGUCGCAGUAACUCCAGGCUGUCAAUUAUUCGAGAUAAAUCAACAGAUUUGGCUUAACAAUAGAAAGAAAUGCGAAAUUUUGUGUUUGUUUGAAUGAAACGAACUGAAAAAGUGCCGGAGAGUGUCCCGAAAUGGUCGUUCUCUUACACAGUUACAAAUCACAAUACAUUUUGAAAAUCGAUGAAUAAAUUACAAAAAUACUUACUCGA
This is an RNA transcript of Bradysia coprophila, 920 nucleotides long. RefSeq lists it as uncharacterized. The record is from RefSeq and is a predicted model, not a curated record. Lineage: Eukaryota; Metazoa; Arthropoda; Insecta; Diptera; Sciaridae.